Molecule: long non-coding RNA, 928 nt
Organism: Carassius gibelio (silver crucian carp)
Lineage: Eukaryota; Metazoa; Chordata; Actinopteri; Cypriniformes; Cyprinidae
Exons: 4
Source: RefSeq, a predicted model, not a curated record
ACCCCAGAGUGCAGUCUGGACGAUGGGGCGGGGCGACACUUCGAGGCGGAGCGACACGUGUCGCCCCGCCCAUAUUUGUUUUCCCCCCCCCUUUGACAUUUUCCUCCGAGCCAGCAGGGGGCAGUUUGCGUUGAAACAAACAGAACGGUGGCAACUACAGCAGCAGAGUAAUAACGCUAUUCCGUUGAUUGCUUGAGGAUGACAUGAUCAGGAGGUGGUGGUGUUCUGUUCUCCUGGACAGCUUUACUCCGCAAAUAGCUCAACCACUGAGGGGAGGAACUUCACCAUUCACCAUGUCUUCAGGCAGAGUCCAGCAAAGCAGCUUCCCCUGGAAAUCCUCAGGGAAGUUAUUUUGUUGGCGGGUGACUCUGCAUAUUUGACACUUUCUCUGGUUUGCAGAUGGUUUAGGGAUGUGCGCCGAAGUUUUUCGGAAAGCGGCACAGUUUGCCUAGCUAGAGAGUAAGAUUUCCCCGUUUAAUGCUCAUUCUCCAAUUGAAUUUUGUAGUAGAAGGCUGUUAAACUUUUUUUGUAUUAUUAUUAUUAUCUUUCAUGUAUUUUGUCUUUACACUAUAAGUUGUGGCCAACUGGAAGAAUUGUCCUCCUGUCUCCCGGAACGAGUUCAGACGGAUGUACAGCAUCAGGGAACACUUGCAGUGCAGAGCCCUUUUCAAGUUUAACCCACCAGGGUACAGGGAAGAGGCCGGCGUGGUGAUCUUCUGGGCUUUUGUUUACACAGGAUAUUGUUCCAAGGACUGUUUUUUUUUUUUUUUUUUUUUUUUUUUGCGGCAUGAAACACAUUUGUGUGUUAAGUUCAUUGAAGGGAAAUAGAGAAUGGGCUGAGAUCAACUGGUUUUGAUGUAUUAAUUGAUGUAAUUUAAAGUUAAACUUUGCACUGUAUAAUGUUUUAAUAAAAAAGCUAUGGAAAACA